UACGUAGGGUGCAAGCGUUAAUCGGAAUUACUGGGCGUAAAGCGCGUGUAGGCGGCCAUCUAAGUCGGGCGUGAAAUCCCACGGCUCAACCGUGGAAGUGCACUCGAAACUGGAUGGCUAGAGUCCUGGAGAGGAAGGUGGAAUGCUUGGUGUAGAGGUGAAAUUCGUAGAUAUCAAGCGGAACACCGGUGGCGAAGGCGGCCUUCUGGACAGUGACUGACGCUGAGACGCGAAAGCGUGGGGAGCAAACAGG
This 253-nucleotide ribosomal RNA is filed under the name uncultured bacterium. RNAcentral describes it as "partial 16S ribosomal RNA". It matches the Rfam family "Bacterial small subunit ribosomal RNA", at positions 524 to 776 of the family's 1533-position model. The record is from RNAcentral.